Molecule: small RNA, 460 nt
Filed under: Pongo abelii (Sumatran orangutan)
Lineage: Eukaryota; Metazoa; Chordata; Mammalia; Primates; Hominidae
Description: retained intron
Source: RNAcentral
UCUGGCAACCCUAUCUUGACUCAUGUUUUCUAUCUUUUCCCCAGGAUGUGAUUGACGUCAUGAAAAGGAGUGAAAGCUGGACAUUGAAGAAGCCAAAAUCUGUUUCCAAGAAACUAAAGAGUGUAUUCCGAGUACCAGAUCUGAGUGGGAUGCUGCAAGUUCUUAAAGAGCUGACAGAUGUCCAGUACUACUGGGUGGACGUGAUGCUGAAUCCAGGCAGUGCCACUUCGAAUGUUGCUGUUUCUGUGGAUCAGAGACAAGUGAAAACUGUACGCACCUGCACGUUUAAGAAUUCAAAUCCAUGUGAUUUUUCUGCUUUUGGUGUCUUCGGCUGCCAAUAUUUCUCUUCGGGGAAAUAUUACUGGGAAGUAGAUGUGUCUGGAAAGAUUGCCUGGAUCCUGGGCGUACACAGUAAAAUAAGUAGUCUGAAUAAAAGGAAGAGCUCUGGGUUAGCUUUUGA